RNAcentral lists this ribosomal RNA (428 nucleotides) under Chloroflexota bacterium. RNAcentral's name for it is "Chloroflexi bacterium partial 16S ribosomal RNA". It matches the Rfam family "Bacterial small subunit ribosomal RNA", at positions 355 to 775 of the family's 1533-position model. The record is from RNAcentral. Lineage: Bacteria; Bacillati; Chloroflexota.
UGGGGAAUAUUGCACAAUGGGCGCAAGCCUGAUGCAGCCAUGCCGCGUGUAUGAAGAAGGCCUUCGGGUUGUAAAGUACUUUCAGCGGGGAGGAAGGGAGUAAAGUUAAUACCUUUGCUCAUUGACGUUACCCGCAGAAGAAGCACCGGCUAACUCCGUGCCAGCAGCCGCGGUAAUACGGAGGGUGCAAGCGUUAAUCGGAAUUACUGGGCGUAAAGCGCACGCAGGCGGUUUGUUAAGUCAGAUGUGAAAUCCCCGGGCUCAACCUGGGAACUGCAUCUGAUACUGGCAAGCUUGAGUCUCGUAGAGGGGGGUAGAAUUCCAGGUGUAGCGGUGAAAUGCGUAGAGAUCUGGAGGAAUACCGGUGGCGAAGGCGGCCCCCUGGACAAAGACUGACGCUCAGGUGCGAAAGCGUGGGGAGCAAACAG